This 282-nucleotide ribosomal RNA is filed under the name uncultured bacterium. Its description in RNAcentral is "partial 16S ribosomal RNA". It matches the Rfam family "Bacterial small subunit ribosomal RNA", at positions 335 to 603 of the family's 1533-position model. The record is from RNAcentral.
ACUCCUACGGGAGGCAGCAGUGGGGGAAUAUUGCACAAUGGGCGCAAGCCUGAUGCAGCCAUGCCGCGUGUAUGAAGAAGGCCUUCGGUUGUGAAAUGUAACUUUACAGUCAGUGAGGAAGGAUGGGUAUGUUAAUAGCAUACUCAUUUGACGUUAGCUGCAGAAGAAGCACCGGCUAACUCCGUGCCAGCAGCCGCGGUAAUACGGAGGGUGCGAGCGUUAAUCGGAAUUACUGGGCGUAAAGCGCAUGCAGGUGGUUUGUUAAGUCAGAUGUGAAAGCCC